This 403-nucleotide ribosomal RNA is filed under the name Verrucomicrobiota bacterium. RNAcentral describes it as "Verrucomicrobia bacterium partial 16S ribosomal RNA". It matches the Rfam family "Bacterial small subunit ribosomal RNA", at positions 355 to 776 of the family's 1533-position model. Lineage: Bacteria; Pseudomonadati; Verrucomicrobiota. The record is from RNAcentral.
UGGGGAAUAUUGCACAAUGGGGGAAACCCUGAUGCAGCGACGCCGCGUGAGCGAAGAAGGCUUUCGAGUCGUAAAGCUCUGUCCUAUGAGAAGAUAAUGACGGUAUCAUAGGAGGAAGCCCUGGCUAAAUACGUGCCAGCAGCCGCGGUAAUACGUAGGUCCCGAGCGUUGUCCGGAUUUAUUGGGCGUAAAGCGAGCGCAGGCGGUUAGAAAAGUCUGAAGUGAAAGGCAGUGGCUCAACCAUUGUAGGCUUUGGAAACUGUUUAACUUGAGUGCAGAAGGGGAGAGUGGAAUUCCAUGUGUAGCGGUGAAAUGCGUAGAUAUAUGGAGGAACACCGGUGGCGAAAGCGGCUCUCUGGUCUGUAACUGACGCUGAGGCUCGAAAGCGUGGGGAGCGAACAGG